AAUUAACAAAAACUACAAUGACCAUGACAAGAACAGAACAUAAAUGACAAAUUACAAAAUAAAAGACAUGACAAAACAGAAUCCUGACACAUUCAUAUACAAAAUUGUAUGAAUGCGUAUCAGUUCAGUAUCAGUAACUCUUAGAAUGCAGUUUAAUAAUGUCAGUCCAAAUAACAAAUUAUAUUUUCUUUCCUCAGUUCCUUAUAAUGAAUGAUCCAGUGCUCAAAAAGUAAUAAAUAAUCCAAAACUUCAAGAACCCAAUGAAAUACGUUGUUGUAGGCCAUGCAAUGCAGAUGUCUAUGAAGACAAAAAGAUUUUUACCGGAUGCAACAAUGGCCUACUCCAUUAAAUUUCUGCGCGACGACGGUCACAAGGAUCAACAGGAUAAGCUUCUCUAGGGGCGGCUUCAGCUUGACCUAAUUACACUCAAUUGGCUGCUCACCUGCACAGCACAGACCAAGAGCUCAAAAUGGAGUAAUGGUUUACUGCAAUUAUUUACAUGUUGCCUUAUAU
Molecule: long non-coding RNA, 513 nt
Organism: Megalobrama amblycephala (Wuchang bream)
Lineage: Eukaryota; Metazoa; Chordata; Actinopteri; Cypriniformes; Xenocyprididae
Exons: 3
Source: RefSeq, a predicted model, not a curated record